RNAcentral lists this ribosomal RNA (396 nucleotides) under uncultured bacterium. RNAcentral's name for it is "partial 16S ribosomal RNA". It matches the Rfam family "Bacterial small subunit ribosomal RNA", at positions 360 to 773 of the family's 1533-position model. The record is from RNAcentral.
AAUAUUGCACAAAGGGCGCAAGCCUGAUGCAGCGACUCCGCGUGGAGUAUGACGGCUUUCGGGCCGUAAACUCCUGUCUGGUGGGAUGAAUACGGACAGUACCGCCGGAGGAUGCCCCGGCUAACUUCGUGCCAGCAGCCGCGUUAAUCCGUAGGGGGCGAGCGUUGUCCGGAAUUACUGGGCGUAAAGCGCGCGCAGGUGGCUUGUUAAGUCAGGUGUCAAAAUGCGGGGCUCAACCACGUACCGCACUUGCACCUGGCAGGCUUGAGUGCAGGAGAGGGAAGUGUAAUACCUAGUGUAGCGGUGAAAUGCGUAGAUAUUAGGAGGAACACCAGUGGCGAAGGCGACUUCCUGGACUGUAACUGACACUGAGGCGCGAAAGCUAGGGGAGCAAAC